Long non-coding RNA from Scatophagus argus, 405 nucleotides. RefSeq lists it as uncharacterized. The transcript is spliced from 2 exons. NCBI's taxonomy places the organism in Eukaryota, Metazoa, Chordata, Actinopteri, Scatophagidae. The record is from RefSeq and is a predicted model, not a curated record.
GAUGCAGACUCCUGCCUACCCUUCCCUCCUCUCCACCUGCAUAUCUGUGACUUAUUACUCCAAUCAACUCCACCUCCCACCUGCUGUAUAACGAGACUGACAUUUGGUCCAUCCUUGCCUGAUUGUUCAGUCAUGUCCAGAGGUCCAUACCCAGCUGUAACCUGGUUCAUUGUGCCCAGCUCUUCCUUAGUUUUUGCCAUCCUUGGAUUCCUGAUUUGCUCAGCUCCUGUCGUCUUUCCUCUGAUUUCUUGCACUCCUGACCACGUCAGCCUCACCAGUAGCACCAGUGCCAUUUUGGACUUUAAUCUUUUGGACUGAAAGAUCAGUGGAUUGUUUGGUGAAAUAGCUUUUGAUUACCUUUGUUCUGAACACUGAUUUUAUAUUAAAAGAACUUUGUUAAUCCUG